Rhopilema esculentum is the source of this 13522-nucleotide non-coding RNA. The record is from RefSeq and is a predicted model, not a curated record. Lineage: Eukaryota; Metazoa; Cnidaria; Scyphozoa; Rhizostomeae; Rhizostomatidae.
ACGAAAUUGGCAGAAGCUUUAACAAACAGUGGUUUUUUGGCUUUCAUGAAAUUUCUGAACCUGCAGAUUCUCACACAUUUGCUUCAACUGAGGCUUCUGCAUCCAAUCUUGAACAUCUUUUCUUCUAUGAAUCCAUCUCCUUCAAUGAAUAUUACGACAUUUCAACUUCCUCCUUCAGAGAAAUGAUGGGCAAUUAUUGCUAUAAUACAACAUUGUCCCAAGAAGAAAUUUCCAAUAUUGAGAAAUCAACACAUGGUCAAGCUUCAAAUGAUGAUUGGAAAAAGCAUCGUAUGUAUCAAAUCACUGCACCCAACUUUUACUUUGCUGCUGUAAACUCUGCUGAACCUUCUUCCAAGCUUAAAUCUAUAUUUUAUAAAUCUUUCACAAUGGCUGCAACUUGCAAUGACCAGAAACACGAAGCACAUGUUGAAGAGCCUUAUAUAAUGCUACUGAAAAAUAAAGGUAUUGAUGCUCCUCAAGUUUCUGAAGUUGGUCGGCAAUUGUCUUCCUCAUCUUGGUGCUUCAUUAGAUGGUGAAGUCACUUACAAAAAUGAAACCUGGAGAUUUGAAAUCAAAUGUCCAUUUUCUGAGUUCAACAUGUCUCUUCAAGAAGCUCUGAAGAAUAAGAAGUUCUUUCUUGUUGAAGUUGGAGCAAGUCCAUCCAUUGACGAAGAGCAGGAGGAAGCAAGAUCAACAAAAGAGCCUGUUAAAUUAAAACCAAACAGGAAGAGGCAAAGCUGAAGAACAAUAUAAAUUGAUACAAGGUUUGGCACAAUCCAUUGCUGAGAGAAAAGCAAAGGCACAGAAAACCAGCAAACAGGCAGCUUGAUGCAUUUGGACAAUAUGUGACACAAACAUUAUCUGAACUUGACACUAGAGUUCAACAUUUGGCUCAACAUAAAAUCAAUCAAAUCCUUUCCAGGCACAAACUGGUUUAUUAGCUCAAGAAAACCCAUAUAGAUCUAUUGUGCCUCUACCACCACAACCACAUUUUUUCCAACGAGAUAAUUCCAGUUAUAGUAUGACAGGCAUAACCAAUCAGGCUGUAAGCACUCAUUCCCAGUUUAACAGUAAGGAGCCAUGUCCAUCAUCCCACUCUUCAUGCCAGACCUUUAGUGCCCCCGAAGACAUCUGGAGGUUUCAAAAUAUAAAAAGUGGUGACAUGCAAGCCGAUAAACAACUUUGAUUAAAAAUACUGUCCAUUGAAUGAUCAUUGCAAUAAAAAUAGAAAUAAUACGAUUUGCUUGUUUUAUUUAGAAUUUGAUUCCCUUCCAAUAAUCGUUAACGUUGUGUUAUAUAGAUUACACACCUUUAGAUAUUCAUCUUUCAGUUUCAUGUACAAUGCUUUACAAGUUUCCUCCACAAUUGAUGAAAUUGUCCGUUCUCCCACCCGAUACUGAAAGAACAGACUCCUGAAUGUCUCACCUAAAUUGAAUUGACAGGCCAUCAGUACUUUUUUAUAUUAAUUUGUUAAUUUUGUGCAAUAGGACCAAGUUUGCACCGGAAGGCGACUUUAGACAAAAUCUUGGGUACACUGACAGGAGUGGGUGCUAAAAAAUGGCCAAAUUUUUUCAGGUUUCCAUGGCUAACUACCUUUGAAAACCAAAUGUGAACUUUUUGUGAUAGCUUCUUUUUGAAUUAAGUGCUCCAAUGUCAUGACUUUUAAAGUGGAUUAAGCCAUUCAGCAGUGGGAUAGAUUUUAAGAGUUAUUGGAAGGAGAACUUCCCUCAUGAAAACUUUACUUCCAAAUAAACUUGAUAUGUGCUUAAUUGUGUACCCAACGUCCUGUCUAGGGGUGUGGAAUCACCUUAUGAUGGUAAUGGACAGAGAACCUGGGGUCAUAAACAAGGGUAAACAUAUGUAACCGUAUGCUUCAGACAGAAGGGCAAAUUCCUCUGGCUACUGAGCUUCAGUUAGCUGAAUUUAAUGCUUAGGACAUAUACACAACUUUACAAGAUUCUAGUUUAAAAAAGUUGCUUCUCAAGUUGCUUAAAUUUAAAAAAUAAUAGCCAGGCUCUAAUUUCUUCUUAGAUGCAAAAUGUUGCAAGGCUCAAAUGGUUUAGUAAAGGUUGGCAAAUUGCAACUCAAAUAUCCAUAACCUGACUGAAACAUCUGAAGAGAUACCUGUAGCAAGGAACUGCAGAGUCACUGAUAAGCGCUCAGACGGCUUUAUUUUACUUCUUAAAUGGGUUUCUUUCUUUGAAAUUAAUGGACUAACUAUAACCAAUAUUUCGUUAAAUUCUUCUCUAUUUACACGAUGAUUUUUAUGAAACAGUUCGGAAUCUUCACCGUUCAAUUCUCCAAUUAUAUUUGCAUGGGCUUCUCUUUUUUCUCUCCUCAAAACCCAGGGCCUUGACCAUUCCUGCCGAUUUGCCACUCGCAAACGCCUACGAUAUCGUCUCAUAAGCAACAUAAAAACAGAACCUCUUCCCUUUCACAAUUUUCAUCAGAAUAUCCUGCUAUUUUGUUGUAGUUUUUCCCAGGAAACGCAUGCGUUUUGUUGAGUUAUUCCAAGCUUGCUACUUCUGGUUCAGCGCACAUAGGAGAAAGUCACUCGUGGCGAAAAUUAUUCAACAUGUUGAAUAUUCAUGAGAUGACUCACAAGUGACGAAAACUCAUUAAAGUCCACCGCACACUAGUCCUUCCUGCUUAGCACGCAGUCAUGAAUGACUUUUUGCUCAGCCGAAAGCUCUAGUGUGCGCCAGGCUUAAGAGCAUUCAAAGAAAGGUGAGAAACUACUUCACAGAUUUUUCAUUCACAUCAAGCACAUUAAUUUUUAUUGUCAAUUAAAAUGACAAUAUUUGUAAUCCUUAUAGUAUUCACUUGUAUUUCUUCCUAGAUAAUUCAGAAGUAACAAAGCCAGAUCACAAUACACAAUGAUGUUAUUCAAUUUGUUAGAGGUUUUUAUGCCAGUGCUGAAGUGAUCAGUAGUAGUAGUAGUAAAUCAAUGUUUGGUAAAAAAAAUUGUAUAUCGAUUAGGGUACAUGGUGUGAAGGAAACGGUUCAAAAGAGGUUGAUCUUGUGCACUUUAGAAGAAGCAUAUUUGAAAUUCAAAGAAGAAAAUCAAGUAUCGAUUGGAUUUUCAAAUUUCUGUGAAUUGCGACCAAAGAAUGUUGUUUCAACAGGGGAUAGUGGAGCACAUAGUGUUUGUGUCUGUACCAUUCACCAAAACCAUAGCUGAUGCUGAUCAACCGACUUGAUGAUUUUUCAAAUGCCUGAAUUUAUAAGUUUGGUUGGUGACUGAUUUAAUAGAAGGUCAGCUACCAGCACUUGCUUUCUUGGGAACUGCAAAAACUGUUGAAAAACAGAACUGGCAGAAAUUUUUGAGCGAUUAGAUGCUGAGGAAAUAACUUUCAACUCAUGGAUAGGUGUUGAUCGAACAAGCCUUGAAACUUUGAAACUUCAACAAAAUCUACUUGUGAUUUCACAAAUUAUCUUCUUGAAAGUCUUUUAAAACUGAAGCGUCAUGAUUUUAUCACUAGAGUUCAAAGAAGCAAAAGAGAAAUUCAAGCCACAUGAAGCUAUAAUUCUUGGAGACAUCGCAGAAAAGUGUUCUUAUAUUAUGCAGGAUGCUGUACAAGGCUUCCAUUGGAAAAAUAGACAAGCCUCCAUUCAUCCUUUUGUUAUCUACUAUCGACAGAAUCCUGAUAGUCAGAUGGAAAUUUUUGUAGUUAUUUCUGACUGUCUCAGUCAUGACACAGCUGCAGUGCAUGCAUUUCAGCAGAAAUGAAUAAAACACUUAAAUGAAAAAAUGGAGUUGGACAAAGUUAUAAAACAGAAAAAAUAGAAAAGUUGUGAACACAGAAAAAAACUUAUUAAUCUGAUUUUCCAUGAAAAAGAUUUGGGCAUGCCUGCUGAAUGACACUUUUUUGCCAACAUCUCAUGGCAAAAGUCUCUGUGAAGGAAUAGGUGGUACUGUCAAACGACUUGCAGCACAGAAAAGUUUAAGCCGACCUUAUUCAAACCCGAUCCAGACUCCUCAACAACUUUAUGAAUGGGUGCAUCAUAGCAUUACAGACAGUUUUUGUAUAUGUUACUGAAGAGGAAAUAAAAGAAAAUGAAGGAAAAAAAUUGGAACACUAAAGCUUCAUUUUCUUAUUCCGGUCAAUGGAAGUACUACAGAAGUAUUGACAAAAGUGACAAAAAGCAACCUUGUCAGAUUUGGUUGAAAGAUAAGUUAUGUCUUGGCAGUUAUCCAUAGCUUGUGUUUCUGGUGAAAAGUGGUGGUUGACGUAUUUGUUAGAUAAAGUGUAUUAUAUCAAUGAAGUAAAGGUCAUAUUUCUCCACCCGGCAAGUCCUGUUCCGCCAUUUAUUUACCAGAGACUUUAAGUGACGGUGAAGCAUGCCAAGACCAUGAUGAAGAAAUCAAUGCUGCACAGAAAGAAUGUGGGCCACAAAGGAAAAGGGAAGAAAAGACAAGUUUAUCAAUAAGGGAAAAAGCACCCUUGCAAUAUUACAAGGAAGUUGUUAAGAAUUACAGCUGGAGUCCAGAAAAUUGUGAAGAUUUUCUCAAGCAAUUCAAGUGGUCUUCGAAGUUGCUGCUGCGCAAGUUUGUACGACUUCUUCCUACAGAGCAUGCUAAGCCAAUGGAAUCACAUGUCAGUCGCAAGCAAAUAGAACAAUGGUAACUAUAGUUAGAAACUUCAAAUAUGCAUAUCAAGGAGGGAGAAAUCGUCUUGUAGGACCUCAUUCGUAGUACAUCUCUCAGAUAUACUUGUAUAUCAAUCUUCCAAUUGUCACAAAAGCAACUUGUUGACAGACUGUGUUAGUUCAUUUUCCAACUAUUUCACUGACUUUAAAGAAUGGUCUUCAGGAUAGUUUUUUUGAUGCUUUGUUUCACUUGACUGGAGAAAUUGUUAAGGAGCUAGUCCUCAAGGUUUUUUAAGAUAUAGUGGAUAUGUACGGAUUUCCUGUUUUUGGAUUGCCCUAGACAAUUGCAAUAGGCAAAUUGCUGGUUUUGGGUACUUUCAUGCUUUGUUAAUAGUGUCAUGCUUGUUGCCCUUUUCUAAUUAUGUUCUGAAGGUAUCGCUAAAAUGUCCCACCCCAACUCCUUAAAACUGGAAGGGAACCACUUCAGGUUAAAGCUGAUGGUACCUGCUUGUAUCUAUCCUGUCAGCGUCAUUAUUUGGCGAUGAAAAUAAUUGGUGUUGGAUAAAGCUCUCCGCUUUGCGAUGUGGACAGAGACUUGAUAUCUUUAACUCAAAUAAAGGUAAAAUUGCAGCAGUGGAAAAAGUAAAACCAGAAAUGAGACCGUUGAGAGAAAAGGCUUCUGUAAAGAUUCCUUUCCAGCUUUUUGAUAUUGAAGACCAACAUGUGUUUGAAGUUGUUUUCCAGAAUGCAAGAUCACUUCAACUACAUAUCAAAGAUAUUUCUUGUGAUUAUAACAUUCAAUCUGCUGUGUUAUAACCAACAUUGCAGAAACAGCUUCAAUUCCACAUGACCAAAAAAUCAAUACAACUUUGCCAAGUUCAUAAUAUAUCGAAAUGACCACUACUCAACAACAAACCAAAGAAGACCAUAUGGGUUAGCAGUUUCUGUUAAAGAAAGCCUGCCUGCAUCAAUUUCUCCUUUCAACAGAAAUUGCAUUGAAUUAUCAGUCAUUCAUUUAACUGAUGAAGGUAAGAAUUUCUACAUUAUCUGUCUUCAUCGUUCAACAAUGCAUGCAUCAGUUACACAAUUGACAGAAGCCAUGGAACAUUUGCAUAACACCAUUCUCAAGACAAAGAAUAUCCACUUAUAAUUCUAGGCGAUUUUAAUGUUAAUCUUUUGACACUCUCUUCAGAAGCAUGUCACCUCACUUACUACAUCGUAGAUACACAAGGAUAUACUCAGUUGAUCAACAAAUACACAACUGAUAGCUGCUCAAUAAUUGACAAUAUGUAUACAGAUAAUCCUGAAAUGAUAACAAACUGUGGUGUCAUCGAAUUAUACUACACUGACCACAAGGCAGUUUAUGUUCCAAAGUAUUAAGUAUUAGUUCCAAAAGCUACAAUUAUAAAGAAAUCAACCACCAGUCAACUCAAAAUGAGCAAAUGCUGUUGAAUUACCAGUAAACAAUUCACCAAUCAUGGUAACAAUUUUUAAACUAUUUGCCUCUGUCAUUGAAAAAUGUCCACUCUUUCAAGUACAAAAUCACAAAGGCCUUAGAAUGUUUAUAAACAGUGUUCUCAAAAAUACUGACUAUUUAAUAAGCAUUCAACUUGGUCUUGAUACUUCACUUUUAGUUAUGUUCAGAAAUUCUUACAUCACUGAUUAAACAGUAUAUACCAAGAUACCUUUAGUUGCCUAUAUUUUAUCACUUCGAUUACUCAUAAAUAUACCUAUGUGGCAAGUUUAUAUAGUCUCAUUCAUCUUCAUUCUAAUUGGUCUGAAAAUUUAAGUAAGUAGGGUAUAAACUGUAAAUUUACAAAAACUUUUUAUCAUCUUAUCAGAUAUGGCAAGGUAAUGAAAUAAGAGCCUAGAAAUUAGAUAUUCCUUCAGCAUGGGGAUCGUGAGUUCUCAUAUUAGCAAUCCUUGUUCCUUCGUUUUAUAAAACAAGAUACUUGGGUUUCAAUUAAAAUUAACAUUAAAGCUGCCACUUAAAUUUAGAUCUUCCACACAUGAUAAUUAAUAUCUAUGCACAGUACAUUAAUUACUGGACAAUCAAAACAUAAUAAUGGUUUACAAGUGUAUCUUGACAGUCCAUUAUCAAAAUUAGAUAUUUAUUACCAGCUUAAUUUUUAAUAUGAUUGAUCUUAACUAAAAAUACAUUUCCUUAAAAUUCCCUAAUACAUUAGCCUAAAUAUAGAUUAUAAACACCAAAAGCAUCUUUAUCAAUUAUAGAAUAUCCAAUCUCAUUAGACUGUCUAAAAAUAAUCUGAAAAUAUCUCCAUCUAGAGCGAAAAGUACCGUAAACUUUUUCCUGAUGUUGCAAUGUUCAAUACGAUUUAUAACAUCAUCAAAAACCCAAUUAUAAUUACUCAUACCACCUAUCUCUAUAUAAACUGCGAUCUUUCCAACCCAAACAAUCAUAGGCAUCCUUUCAAGUCUCAGGAAGAGGUCGCCAUUAACGAAAAACAGUUCAAGCUCAAUUGGCCCGGGGUAAGUGUGCGAGACCAUAUUUUACUACCAUUUUAUAUCAAACUUUGACCUUUCUCCAUCAAUGACUUUGCUCCUGCGAAGUAACUGUCACUUAUCCUCGUCUUGCACUGCUCUCGGCUCUGUCAAAUCCAUUGACUGAGAACUUAUACUCCAUUUUUUAACAAUUAAAAUCAUUCUGUACGGUUUCUAAAUUUUAAUACAAAUUGAUUUACAUAUUUUUAAUACAAACGGCACUCACAAUUUUAUUAAAGUUUCAGAUCCUAAAUUAUGAUAACAUAGUUACUAGCAAUGGUGUAGUGCUAUCAAAGUAACAAGAAGAGCUCAUGCACAUAAUGUUCUCAAAAACAAUAACAAAAGUAAAAUUUUGGCAAAUUUCAGGCUUUAACAAGGGAACUCAGCACCCCUGCAAUACACUCUUUAUUACAACACCUUUCAAAAAUCACUUAUAACAAAUACUUGUCUUCUCUCUUUGAUUAUCAAAUUUUUAUAUUUCUAGUCAACAUGAGUUCAGCACAGCAAAAGAAAAAGUUUCUUCCAAGCAGUAAUACAAGCCCAUUCCAGUUUCCUCCCAGCCAAAGUUAUUCAGGAUAUAUAACUAAUGUCUCCGAAGAAAUGGUCACAACUCCAGGAAAUCCCUAUUUUACAAUUCAAUUAAAAGUUUCCGCAACGGAACAGAUAGCAGUGAGAGAAAUGAAGAAAUGGAACAAAGAUGUAAGCUGGGACAUCUUCAUCCAAAAACAAAAUGAAGGUGACUCUGUCACUUCAUCAAAUAUCUCCUUCUUCAAUUCCUCUCAGGGAAGUGACCUCCUCAAAUAUUCCUCAAAACUAAACUUUAAUCGUUCUUAUCAGUUACCACCAACUGUCCAAGAAAUGAAAAAACAAACUUCAGGCCUCCAUUCUGUCCAGGGACAGUUACAGUGGAUCGGGGAAAACAAGUUAAUGAACUAUCCCAACCAAAAUACAUAAGGGAUGCGGUUCUUUCAGACCGCUCUGGCCACGUUCAGAUUUCGUUUUGGAAUGCACAAAUAGAGCAAAUAGAGGAGCUUCAUACUUUAAACAUCAGCCACGUUGCUGUUAAGCAGUACCGUGGCAUAAAAUUAUCAACAGCAAACGUGACAAUCAUAACAAAAAUUGACAGCGAAGAAACCUUCAUUUGGGAAUUUGUGGAUAUGGAAACAUACUUGUCAGAUGCCGUAGUUGAAAAGAAGAUGUUUUGCCCAGCUACUUAAGUUUCCCUUACCAAUAUAUGUGUAAACAAAAAUUGCACAAGAAAAUUAGCAACUACAAGUACCGAAAAGUUCAUAACGUGCCCAUUUUCCACUCACUGCAUGCCAAUUGCAAAAAGCCCCCUGACCUUAACGUGUGAGAUAACCAUUUUAACAAACAAUCAUCAAAUCUCUUUAAAUGCUACAGCUGAUGUCUUGGCAAGAUUUUUGGAAACAGAUGUUGCCCAAACAUACAAAGAAUUUCUUCGGAGCUCAAAGAUAAAAUUCUAGAGCUUGAACAAAUCGAUAUAAACUAUAACAGUAAAAACAACCAAAUUAACCGAAUUUCUCAUCAUCAAUGCUGAAUUGCUCCAUUUACUUGACACCAUAUUUUUUUGCCAGAUAAUGUCUUUAGUUAUAUAAUUACAACUCCUGUAACGAUAAAUGUUGCAUUUUUUCUUAAAACCAUGUUAUCCAAUCAGCUUAUUGACUGAACUAAACUGGAGAAUUGUUUCCUUCUUUCUGAUUACCAUGACUUCUCCUAAACAAAUACUUGCCCACUAACCAAAAACACCCAUAGAUAACAACAAGAAUUUGAUAAACGUUAACAAUAGCAGGGAAGAGCCAGACCAUAAAGCAGACCAUAAAGCGAUAAGGAUAAACAAUGAAAUAUUUUUCUCUAUAUGCCGUAAACAACCAAACAACGUCGAUGUGAUUGGUUGCGAACAAAAACUUUGCUACUCGCAUUAAUGUCUAUGUAAAGACAAUUGUUUUCCGAACCAUGUAAUACUCGCAAAUUGAAUUUGGUUAUGGCAUAAAAUACAUAUGAUCAUUUCACAAUAAGAACAAAACAACUACGACCUACAAUAAUGAACCGUAUUCGAUCUUUUUUUUUUUGAAUAACUAGAUCAACCUCGACCUAUCCAAAAACAUAACAGAUUUUUACGAAAUUAACAUUUCAAGUAAACUUUUACUUUGCUAGAGAACUAUCAAGAAAAUUUCCCUUCUAAAUGAAAUAAUUACACUUCCUGUAAUUUUAACUUAUUCUCUCCAUCUAAUACAUUUCCAAACAGCUCAAAUUGUUAAAUUAAUUGUCUUUUUAGUAAUUUCCGUAAUGCCGUCUUUUUUUGAUUUUUUUUUAAAUUUGUGCUUUUUUAUGUAGAUUCGAUUUAUUUGUAGUACUCAUUAUCAAUUAAUAAAUGCGUUAUUUCUUUCUAAUUGGAAGGUAUUCUUUGGAUUUGAGUUUACAUUAAAGACUAAAACAGUUUAUAUAUCAAUUUUGAGAAAAAGCUAUUUUGUGUUUAAUAAACUCCCUUUUUGUCUUCCCUGCUGUUCUUUCACAGAUGAGCUCGACUGCUAUCCUCAUUUUAGAAUUAUGAUCAUUAUAAUCAACCACAAACAUCAUCAAAAAUAAUAAUAAUGCUGCACUAGAAUGCUAUCCAUCUUUUGUCGUCGUCUUUAUCUUCGUUUGCGUCAUCAAAAUCAUGGAAACAUUUUCAUUUUGAAUUCUCAAACAUUACAGUUACAAAGCUCACAAGAUAAGGUACUUUGUAUAUGGCUUGCCUUCAGCUGUUACACUAAGACAUAACAACAGAAAGAUAAACUGACAAUAGAGAAUAACAAAACAUUAUGUAUGUAUGUAUAAUUUUAUUACAUUUAUUACAAUUUAAAAUUAAUGAAAACGAAAAAAGAUCUAAUUACAGAUAUAUAAAAUUUAGAGAUAGAAGUCAAAAACGUAGACUAAAAACACCCCAGGUUAAAAAUCGCAGGGAUAGCAUUAAAAAGGUCAGUACGAACUUGUUUCCAUCAUGCAGAGGUAUUUUAAAAAGGAAAUGUGUUCAUGAAAAAUUGGUUGUAUCCAAAACUAGAAAAAAGUAAUUCUGGAAAAUUGUUAACUAGAACGUUGGCUGAAUUUGGGUUAUCAAUAAAUUAUGUAGAGGCUAUCCUCCUCACCUUGUAGAUCAUCAAAGAAUUCAUCUUCGAUCUUGUGUUUGAAACUAUUGACAUUUUUUGGAGAUUUUAGUUUUGACGGUAGAUUGUUCCAAAUUUUGGGACCUAGAUAUGAGAGGCAACUUUUCCCUGAGUUUUUCUUUCGGAAAGGUUGAUUCAGUUUGUUUUUAGAUCUUCGAGUGAUUUUGUUCUGGUCAACUGGUAAGAACAUCUCUGACAUGUAUGUAGGGUGGGGCUGAAUUAUCAAAAAUUUGAAAACCUUCCCAGUCAUACAUUCGUUUAAAAGAUAGAAGCUCUGGGUUGUCCCAUGUUUGGUUACGCCGGCAAAAGAUGUAGUAGGUAAUAAUAAAAAUAAAAAUGAUAAUGGUUGAUAAUGAUAAUAAUUUUUUUUUAAACAUCUCAUUUUCAUUGAAUACAUUUUAAAUUUACAAUUAUACGACUCGCUUUUACAGGCAUCAUAUAAUUGGCUUAUCUGCAUUACAAUAUUUAAAAGUCAAUUAGUUCGGGCCUUAGCCAUGGUUUGUUUCGACGACAGAAGAUAUAGUAGGUGCAGCGGAUAGAAAUUAAUUAUAAUAAUAAUAAUAAUAGAAGAAGGAAAAGGAAGAAAAAGUUGAUGCCUACACAGAUCUUAAAGUUUGAAAUUCGAAAAUUCUUAAAGUUUGGAGAGAGGAAGUGAAGAAAGUCGUUAUAGUUCCAGUUAUAAUUGGUGCAUUAGAAUCUGUAACAGGAAGACUCCAGAAGGAAUUGGAAAAACUUGAUUACAGAAAAGGUCUUGAAAUCAUCCAGGAAGCAUGUUUAUUGGGAUCUGCAAGAAUAAUCAGGAAAGUGCUGGACACUCCAGGAAAAGACUGAAAAGAAAUAAGGAUGAAACUCAGAUGGAGCACUCACUAUCUCAGGAUCUGAAACAGAACUUGAUAGUGUUUAAAUCCAGUAUCUAAUGCUGUGUACAUUUGCAAUAAUAACAAUUAUAAUAAGACAAGUGGUAUGAGCACAAACCCGAGAAAGUGACUGAAAAAGAAACUGCCACUAUAUUAUGGGAGAUGCCUGUAAACACAGACAAAGAGAUAAAAGCCAACAGAUUUGACAUAAAUAUCAAAGAUAAAAAGAAAAGACAUGCAUUAUGAUUGACAGGAGUAUACCAUCUGAAAGAAAUGUUUCAAUUAAAGAAGUAGAGAACCUAUCCAAGUAUAAAGACCUUGAAAUUGAAGUGACAAAAAUGUGGGAAAUGAAGACAUCCACAGUUCUAAUUGUAGUGGGAGCACUUGGGCUUGCAAAGAGAGGCCUUGAGAAGUACGCAAGUCAAAUCCCUGGCCACAUACAGAUUGAAGAAUUGCAGAAGAUUGCUCUCCUCGGAAGCGCCCACAUCCUGAGAAGAACAAUGUCUAUCAAGUGAACACUGCUGUUUCCUUAGAGUCAUGGAGUGACCUUGGCACAGUGGUGACAACUGUACAGCAUUAUAAGCAAAGAAAAAGUAAUAAUAAUAAACAUUAUCAUCGUCAUAAUCAACAUCAUCAUCAUCAUCAGUUUUGUCAUCAUGAUAUUGCAAAGUUCAAGCACAUUAUUCUGAAAAGUACAUCAUACAAGAAAUUGAAAGCUUUCCAGUUCUUUCAAGAAGGGUUUAUAAAGAAGAUUGAAGUUGCAACAGAUAACAACUUUUCUUAUUUUGAUUCAAAGCUUCAAUGAAGAAGUGUUUAUACAAAAUUAUUUUACAAUUGUCAGUCAAGUCUAGCAUGUUUGCUCUCCUGCAUGUACUUGUCUUGCUGGUAUUGGUCUUCGUGGUUUUUGCAACUGUAACCAUGUUGGAGGUGUUCUCUUUGCUCUUGAAGACUUCAACAGACGUGGUUUACGAGAGUAUCCAUCUGCUCUAACAUGGACUUCAAAGCUGUCUUUUUGGAAUGUUUCAAAUUCAUCUGCUCUUAAAUCCAUCAAUCCCUUUCCAAUAGAUGAAGUGAUAAUCAAGUUCAAGUUUGGAAAUACAAACAAUCAAGUUUAGAAAGGACAAUGAUAAAAGUAAUUUGUCUCGCUAUAAAUUCUUUGAUCCACAUGCUCCAUUUGAUAAAGCUAUCGAUGAUAAAUAACUUGAAGCACUUAAAACGUAAUUGGCAGAAGCUUUAACAAACAGUGGUUUCUUUGGCUUUCAUGAAAUUUCUGAACCUGCAGAUUUGAAUAUCCAGUCUUUUCUUCUAUGAAUCCAUCUCCUUAAAUGAAUAUUCUGAUAUUUCAAAUUCCUCUUUCAAAGAAAUGAUGGACAUUUAUUGCUUAAAUACAACAUUCUCCCAAGAAGAAAAUUCCAAUAUUGAGAAAUCAACACAUAGUCAAUCGACAAAACUUUUACUCUGCUGCUGUAAACACUGUUGAACCUUUUUUAAAGCUGAACUCUAUGUUUUAUAAAUCUUUCCCAAUGGCUGCAACUUGCCAUGGCCAGAAACACAAAGCACAUGUUACAGAGCUUUAUAUAAUGCUACUGAAAGAUAAAAGUAUUGAUGCUCAAGUUUCUGAAGUUGGUCUGCAAUUGUCUUCCUCAUUUUCUUAUCUUGGUGCUUCAUUAGAUGGUGAAGUCACUUACAAAAAUUAAACAUGGAGAUGCGAAAUCAAGAAGCUCUAAUGAUGAGAAGUUAUUUUUUGUUGAAGAUGGUGGUAGUUUUAAGCUGAAGCGCAAGCAUGCAUACAUCCACCAAGUUCAAGGCCAAUUUUUGGAGGUGUAGAUCGUUGUGACAUGUUGUUGGCACUUUAUAGAAGAACACUUGGAACCAAAAAGUGGUAUAUGCAUGAAUUAUAUCACUGCAUUGGCCUCAGCAUUGUGAAUUCGUGGCUGUGUUACCACUGUCACUGUGAUCAAAAGAGGGUCCCGAGGAAAAAAAUUAUGUUGCACUUUCAGACAAGAGUUGCCAAUGGCCUGCUGUUUGUAAACAAAUAGAUAGAUAGAUAAACUUUAUUUACAGAGGAUAAACCUGGUUAGCCUUAUAACUAAUCUUCCCCAGGGUCCUCUCUUCUAACUACGCAAUAAAAUAUAAUACUUUAAUUUUAAAAGAAAGUGUCCUUUAAGUUUCUAAAAAGCCUAGUAACAAUUUUGUUUAAAGUAAAGUUUAAGUAUUUAAAUCUGAAACGUUGAGGUAAUGCUGAUACGCUUUUCUCUUGAAAAUUCUCAGUGAUGUUGACUGUCUAAUGUUGAGUGGAAGUUCAUUCCAUAUUUUACUUCCUUUUAUUGAUAUUGACUGAUCAACCUUUUUCAGUUUUGAUCUGGGCACAUACAAGUUUUUGUGUGAUGAACUUCUCGUCAAUCGCUG